AGGAAUAUAGUUUAUUCAAAACAUUUGAUUUGCAUUCAAAAAAAAUUACUUUUAAUUAAUUAUUCUUA
This 68-nucleotide transfer RNA is filed under the name Scythropia crataegella. RNAcentral describes it as "tRNA-Ala". It matches the Rfam family "tRNA". From Rfam's summary of the family: Transfer RNA (tRNA) molecules are approximately 80 nucleotides in length. The record is from RNAcentral. Lineage: Eukaryota; Metazoa; Arthropoda; Insecta; Lepidoptera; Scythropiidae.